UGUCCUCUCAACGCUCAAUCCCGGCGAGUGCAGGCGUCACUGAAGACUUGACAUCGGCGGAAUCGGACGUCCACUGUCCUCUCCACGACUGGCCAGGUGUUAUCCAUACGCAAACUUUAUCUCCUUCCAAUGAAGCUGACCGUCCCGUCGAUGAGGAUGACCUCCCGCUUCGCUGCAGUUAGAGACUUUUUCCGUGUACAAACAGAGAGACGCAGCGGCGAGACAAUAACGCCCAGAAGUUAUUGAAAUGAAUUGUCAUGAAAGAAGCUGAAACAAGAGGAAGAAGUUGAAGAGGGCUUGCCAUUUGCCCCCUUCCCCCCACAGCAGAGCACAACAAGUAAAAGGCGAGUGGUUAAAGUCCAGACAUGAAAGAGGCACGCAAGUAUACACACAUGCUCAGUGCAGUGGCACCUAGAGGCUGUCUGCGGUCUACCACCACCCUACCACACACAUGUGCACACACACUCAUGGCUGUUACGGUAAGGAUCAAGAGACCACCGAGUCAGGAGGAUAAUAACGGUGGGAAUGUGAGAGAACAAACUCAUUAUCUACUUCUGUUUUCUCCUCUGAAUUAAAAUUUACACACGCACUGACAACUUCUGUUACUAAAUGUUUACAUGAAAAAGAUAAAGAAUAUAUGUUUGACUUCAGUCACAACAAAAGAUAAUCCUGUCAUGUCUAAGUUGAUGCUAUUUCAUUUUAAAGUGUCUUCUUUCCUGAUUGUCAUUUGUGAUGUGUCUGUAUCUGUGAUGGAAGUCGGCUUCAUUUUUUCCUAUCCGUUUCUGUCAGUCAAAAGCAGUCCACACAAGUUUAACAGCUGCACCACAUGUCCCACAACCCCUCCAUAACCAGCCCAUAUAACCCACCCAGUGCUCCUCCCAGGCUUCCCAGCAUCCUGCCCAGCACACCCUCCAAAAAAAAAAAAAAAAAAACCCUACAUGCUGAAAUUACAGUGCGGCAUUGUGGGAAGCCCCUCCCUCCCUUCAAUGUAUUUUCUCUCCUUAUACGGUCCUCACUCUGCUUCGAAUGAAUCUGAUUUAUUUUAAAAUUCGUUAAUCUGUCAUACCAAUGCUCAGGAUAAUUUGCUUCUCCAAUUACAGUAAAUUCAGUUCAAAAUGAGGUUAACAAGGUAAGAAUGCAGUCCUAAAUGAGAUCGGCUUCUUUCUGCCAAUUAGUUUUUUUAUUUACUGAUUUUUAAUAAUUACAAUUAGAGUCUGGCCUCUUUUAAAAUAUAACCGUAAAAAGAAAUGUGUUUGUUUUAUGACUUGUAAUGAACGCUAAUUAUUUUUAUGCUUAAUAUUUCUAUAUGUUAUCACAUUGAGCUACUCGUGAUAUACUAGAAUUACUGAAGUUUUAGGAGGAAUUACAUUUGGAACCAGAAAUAAUAAUUAUGUGGAUUCGGGAUUCAUUACCUUCAGCCAUGCAAAUGAAAGUAGUCAUCAUAAGCUACAAUUGCUAGAAUUGACUAAACAGUUCUAGCUACAAAGGCUGUAACUCAAAUUCAACCAAUAAUAUGAUGUGUCUGAUGAUACAAAACCCAGUGCUGCGUCUUUUAGUCAGAAAGUAGCUCCAUUCAGCUUUUAGCUUCAGGUUAACUGACAGCACCACCCUCACAGCGACCGUGUCACUUACCAGCUUUAAUGAUACACUAUCAGUUCAGCAUCGCCUGCAUGGAGCUAGCUUGGUUAACAAUCGGCCGAGGUGCAGUAUGAGAGGACGUGUGUGUGCGUAUGUGUCGGCUAUUAAAGCACUUGAGAAUCAUAGAGGAAAGAACUCACACUGCUAAUGGAUGUGUCUAUUGAUGUUCCCAUUUAGCGGCAUGCUGUAAACGAUAGGGCAGUGAUUGUGUUGAAGAAGGAAGGAGGUGGAGGAGUGGAGAGGAGAGCAGUUCGGCUGGGCGAUGAUAAUGACAAGGAAGGUUAUUAUUUGGCAUCCCAUGGAGUCUCUCUCCACUUUGUGUGUGUGUGUGAGACACAAAGAGAGUCGAGAGUGGUACUCUUCCUCCGUGCCUCUCAGCCCUAUUCCCUUCCCAGCCUAUUGGCUGUUAUUCACUCCUCUCUUCAUCCAGUCAAAGCUGUCUCUUUUUCAAAUCUACCUCUCCGUUUCUCAUUUCUCAAAGGGCCCUUCUUUAUUUAAAUGUACAGGGCAAAUAUAUUUUUAACAGAAGGUAAAAAUGGCAGGAAACAGGUCAAAGAUAAAAAUGAAGCAGAAGCAACAAAGUAGUCAUGAGAUCUUUAGCAAAGCAAGUUGCAGUUGAAAUAUUGAUUUACUCAUGAGUAAUUUUUAUUUAUUUAGUUUUUAACAGCUGCUUGCGUGUGUCCUGUCAGUUCAAAUUAGUGUGUGUGUGAUGAAUAUGAAUACAGUCAGCCUGCCUGCAGGUUUGGCUGGAGACCACCUCCAGCUGGACUCAGAUCUCUACUCAAGUGUGUCUGUGUGUAUUUUGUGUACAAGUCAGUUUGUAUCUGUCAGUGUAGUGACGACCUCAGGAGAAAAUAACAAAAACAAAAUUAUAAAGAAUA
Melanotaenia boesemani (Boeseman's rainbowfish) is the source of this 2519-nucleotide long non-coding RNA. RefSeq lists it as uncharacterized. The transcript is spliced from 3 exons. The record is from RefSeq and is a predicted model, not a curated record. Lineage: Eukaryota; Metazoa; Chordata; Actinopteri; Atheriniformes; Melanotaeniidae.